RNAcentral lists this ribosomal RNA (497 nucleotides) under uncultured bacterium. Its description in RNAcentral is "partial 16S ribosomal RNA". It matches the Rfam family "Bacterial small subunit ribosomal RNA", at positions 28 to 507 of the family's 1533-position model. The record is from RNAcentral.
GAUGAACGCUGGCGGCGUGCCUAAUACAUGCAAGUCGAGCGAACGGACGAGAAGCUUGCUUCUCUGAUGUUAGCGGCGGACGGGUGAGUAACACGUGGAUAACCUACCUAUAAGACUGGGAUAACUUCGGGAAACCGGAGCUAAUACCGGAUGAUAUUUUGAACCGCAUGGUUCAAAAGUGAAAGACGGUCUUGCUGUCACUUAUAGAUGGAUCCGCGCUGCAUUAGCUAGUUGGUAAGGUAACGGAUUACCAAGGCAACGAUGCAUAGCCGACCUGAGAGGGUGAUCGGCCACACUGGAACUGAGACACGGUCCAGACUCCUACGGGAGGCAGCAGUAGGGAAUCUUCCGCAAUGGGCGAAAGCCCGACGGAGCAACGCCGCGUGAGUGAUGAAGGUCUUCGGAUCGUAAAACUCUGUUAUUAGGGAAGAACAUAUGUGUAAGUAACUGUGCACAUCUUGACGGUACCUAAUCAGAAAGCCACGGCUAACUACGUG